AGCUAAGAAAGAACACCAUGGAAAUCGGAAACCAUGAAACCGGUGAUGCUCAUCCUUUGCUGAGAGGGGGUAGGAGAAAAACUACAUACACCCAUGGUUUCUCUUCAGCUCAAAUCCGAUCACUUGCUGCCACCUGUGAAGCUUUAAUCCCUCCUCUCCCACUUGAUUCAGCCCACCAGGCUUCUUCCCUUGAUGCUUUCUACAAAGCUUCUGGGGCUGAGCCUCCACUUCCUGAUGAGGUAAUCAAAAUCCCAAUCUUCAUUCCUUCAACUCUUGUUGUAAUUAGCUAAUUGAACAGUUUUGUACGUGCAUAUACUUGGUAAUGGGGAAUUGUUUUAAAAUAAACAGGUAGCAGAGAUGAUGGUGAAGAGGGUGGUUGAACCCAGGGUACUCUCGUUUGUGAAAGUAGUAUUGGCAGUUAUAUCGUUUAGAUUGGGCGCAUUGUUGCUUUGCGGGUGGGAUUGCUGUGACUGGAAAUGGCCAUUCAUUCACAAGUUUUCGGAACUGCCAGUGGAGAGAAGAGAAAAAAUACUAAUGAAAUGGUCAAGCAAUGGCCAUCAUCGCUUACCUCUAAGAGCUGUUUUUGCAUUGAUCAAAACUUACUGCUUGUUCAUCUUUUU
Molecule: long non-coding RNA, 620 nt
Filed under: Gossypium barbadense (sea-island cotton)
Lineage: Eukaryota; Viridiplantae; Streptophyta; Magnoliopsida; Malvales; Malvaceae
Description: long non-coding RNA (GBAR_LNC006334)
Source: RNAcentral